This 23-nucleotide non-coding RNA is filed under the name Rattus norvegicus (Norway rat). Lineage: Eukaryota; Metazoa; Chordata; Mammalia; Rodentia; Muridae. The record is from RNAcentral.
AUGUGCGUGGUGCUGCUUUGGUA